Molecule: unclassified non-coding RNA, 376 nt
Filed under: uncultured cyanobacterium
Lineage: Bacteria; Bacillati; Cyanobacteriota
Description: partial contains 16S ribosomal RNA and 16S-23S ribosomal RNA intergenic spacer
Rfam family: Bacterial small subunit ribosomal RNA (bases 1-123)
Source: RNAcentral
UGGCACGCCCGAAGUCGUUACUCCAACCCGCAAGGGAGGAGGACGUCGAAGGUGGGGCUGAUGACUGGGGUGAAGUCGUAACAAGGUAGCCGUACCGGAAGGUGCGGCUGGAUCACCUCCUAACAGGGAGACAACUCAGACGUUGAUGCUUGACCAAAUUUGAUGUUAAGCCAGUGUCCUGUCACUCUAGGUCGAUCGGUACCUCAGCUUUGAGAUUGAGAACUGUAGAGAAGCGAAGCAGAAGUCAGCAGGGAAACCAGCUGAUGGAUGUGAUGUGAAUCUAUUGUUGCUCAAGACUCAAUUUUCAGUUCCUAAACGUUGUCUAGGUCACCCCAUAGCGGGUUUCACCUCCUGGGCCAUUAGCUCAGGUGGUUAG